Molecule: long non-coding RNA, 881 nt
Filed under: Triticum aestivum (bread wheat)
Lineage: Eukaryota; Viridiplantae; Streptophyta; Magnoliopsida; Poales; Poaceae
Description: long non-coding RNA (TAES_LNC022632)
Source: RNAcentral
GCCUUGUUGUGUGGGAUUUGGGGGUUCCUAGUCUGGUAGCAGUACUAGUAUUUACAAAUUUGUAACCUAAGAACUAAGCCUGCAUCUUGUUACUUCUAUGGAAGCACUGACCUCGUAAUUUUUUUACCAACCACUGACCUAAGAAUUAGACAUGGUGCUCAGUGUAUUCUCUCAACCUUGGUUGUUCUGGCAGUGCUUAUAAGCUUGACAUCUUUGAUGAAUCCAGCCCGAACUGAAGCCUGUCGGCGAGUCGGGCGUUGGGCCAACCGCUGUCGUCUGUCUACCUCCUUCCCCGGUGAGCCCAUGCUCUUCUGCACUUGAUGCUUGAGCCGCCUGCACUUCUUUUCUCUGUUCAAAAAUUCCGAAAGCAUCAGUACUUUGUAUUAGAAUACACCAUGUUAGUUAUGCAAAUUUCCAUUAUGCUUGUAUGUCCAAAAAUGUGUACAGUUACUGCUUUUGACUUCUUUUAGUGCAGAGAAGUUACCCUGUCAUGGGCUGACCUCGAGGCUCCUUCUCCACGUCGACACAAUUGCAGGACUAACGUGCUACUGACCACACAAGCUUCCUCAAGGAGCUCGUGUACAACGAUACUAAAAGGAAAAACUGCUUCAGUUUUGAACUUCUUAUUCAGUCAUGCUAUUACUGAGUGAAAAUGGAGUGAAAGUGUAUUGCAAUUGAUCUAUCUUAGACCUUGGCAAUCCUCUAUUUAGCCUGCUUGUUUUUUGGUCUGUAAUUCAAGAACUUUGAGCUUCGUAAUUCGGUUUUUUGUUAAUUUCUUAUGCCCAGUACAAACCGUUAAAUCUGAAGAGGCUUCUAAUAGCAAGAAAAUGUACAAUCAGUGUGUUGUAUAUGCCAUUCAUGUAUGAAAAAUGUGCAGUCGG